Molecule: long non-coding RNA, 1242 nt
Organism: Cyprinus carpio carpio
Lineage: Eukaryota; Metazoa; Chordata; Actinopteri; Cypriniformes; Cyprinidae
Source: Ensembl
CCUGUGCUACCCUCAUCAGGUCACCUAUAUAAGGUCUAUCCUUUGUUCAUUUUGGUUGUCCGAUAUUAUUUGUGUUUCAGCUUGUGGAGUACACUGUGAUCUUCGUUCUUGGAUAUCUAUUAAAUAUUGAAAAGCUAAUCUUCUUAUGUGCCUUCUCAUUACCAGAGGCAUGACAGGAUAUCGGACCUUAAAGCAAGAUGAAUUAUGCUGAGGACCAGCUAUGGUGCCUGCUGCACGGUGGUCGGCCUUUGGAGAAGUAUGUGGAGGAAUUCAUCAAGCUCUCCUAUCUGGUAGAGGAAAUUAGACAAGAUAAGAGCCGUUCUAGUCCAGACUCUUCUGUGAACCUCUGGUCCUCGCCAGCUUACCCCAGGCCGGUAUCAUCCACAUGCCUGGCCAAUGGCUCUGACCACCCCUAUCCUCCUGUGUUUCCCCGAGGCUCUCCCAGAACCAUUCCAGUCCUGAGCCUAGAACCAGCGGCUGCUCCACUCUCAAGCCCACCAACCGCUCCACUCGCAAACCUGCCGGCCGCUCCACUUUCCAGACCUAUGAUAAUAUCAGCCUUUUCUUCAACCUCAGCCCAAAAGAGGAGGAUGAGGAAAAGGCGGUUUUCAGUCCCGAUGCUCACUCCAAAGUUCGCCCCAGAAUGUUCGGCAGAGCUCAACCAGAAGCCCAGCCCUCCUUUGUCUCUGCUGGUCCCGUUCAGCUCACCUUCAUCUCCGCUGGUCCCGCCAGCUUUCCUUAAUCUCCUUCAUCUCCUUCGCCUCAGCUGGUCUUGUCCAGCCAUCCUUCAUCUCAUGAGCCUCCUGCGUUAGCCAGCUCCGCUCCUCCAGAGCACCCUCCAGUGCCCAAUCCUCCAGAAUCCCUCUGGGCAUGGAAAUGCCUAGUUUUCCCCAAGAAAAUAUCCUUUAUAUAUCUGUUGCCAUAGUGGCCAAGGCAGGGAACCUGGACAAGGCCACGAAGGCUACUCCAUGGCCUUCUGAACUCCCUGAUCUGCCCUGGAGGCCUUCCUUGUCUCCGCCCUUUUCCUACCCUGCACCAGCCUACAGGAUGCCCGCUCCCCACUCUCCGUUGGAACUGUUAUGGCGCAGGACACGCCUUCUGGGAGGGGGGUGAUAUUUCACGUUUGAGUUCCUGUUCUGUUUAGUUCAUCUCGUUUAGUUCAUUUGUCUCAUUAGUUAACCUUCCUCACCUGUGCUACCCUCAUCAAGUCACCUAUAUAAGGUCUAUCCUUUGUUCAGUUUG